RNAcentral lists this transfer RNA (75 nucleotides) under Acidimicrobiia bacterium. RNAcentral's name for it is "tRNA-Val". It matches the Rfam family "tRNA", at positions 14 to 71 of the family's 71-position model. Rfam says of the family: Transfer RNA (tRNA) molecules are approximately 80 nucleotides in length. The record is from RNAcentral. Lineage: Bacteria; Bacillati; Actinomycetota; Acidimicrobiia.
AGAUGUACGGGAUUGACAUAUAAAUCCGCUUCUCUUACAAGGAAGAAGUCACAGGUUCAAAUCCUGUAGCGCCCA